Molecule: ribosomal RNA, 484 nt
Filed under: uncultured bacterium
Lineage: Bacteria
Description: bacterial SSU rRNA
Rfam family: Bacterial small subunit ribosomal RNA
Source: RNAcentral
GAUGAACGCUAGCGGCAGGCUUAAUACAUGCAAGUCGUGGGGCAGCGCAGGUAGCAAUACUGGGCGGCGACCGGCAAACGGGUGCGGAACACGUACACAACCUUCCUACAAGUGGGGAAUAGCCCAGAGAAAUUUGGAUUAAUACCCCGUAACAUAGCGAUGUGGCAUCACAUUGUUAUUAUAGCUUCGGCGCUUGUUGAUGGGUGUGCGGCUGAUUAGAUAGUUGGCGGGGUAACGGCCCACCAAGUCUACGAUCAGUAGCUGAUGUGAGAGCAUGAUCAGCCACACGGGCACUGAGACACGGGCCCGACUCCUACGGGAGGCAGCAGUAAGGAAUAUUGGUCAAUGGACGAAAGUCUGAACCAGCCAUGCCGCGUGAAGGAUUAAGGUCCUCUGGAUUGUAAACUUCUUUUAUCUGGGACGAAAAAAGGCGAUUCUUCGUCACUUGACGGUACCAGAUGAAUAAGCACCGGCUAACUCCGUG